RNAcentral lists this ribosomal RNA (405 nucleotides) under Rhodococcus qingshengii. RNAcentral describes it as "bacterial LSU rRNA". It matches the Rfam family "Bacterial large subunit ribosomal RNA", at positions 2523 to 2925 of the family's 2925-position model. Lineage: Bacteria; Bacillati; Actinomycetota; Actinomycetes; Mycobacteriales; Nocardiaceae. The record is from RNAcentral.
ACCUCGAUGUCGGCUCGUCGCAUCCUGGGGCUGGAGUAGGUCCCAAGGGUUGGGCUGUUCGCCCAUUAAAGCGGCACGCGAGCUGGGUUUAGAACGUCGUGAGACAGUUCGGUCUCUAUCCGCCGCGCGCGUUAGAAACUUGAGGAAGGCUGUCCCUAGUACGAGAGGACCGGGACGGACGAACCUCUGGUGUGCCAGUUGUUCCGCCAGGAGCACCGCUGGUUAGCUACGUUCGGAAGGGAUAACCGCUGAAAGCAUCUAAGCGGGAAGCCUGUUCCAAGAUGAGGUUUCUCACCCCCUCGAGGGGGUAAGGCCCCCGGCAGACCACCGGGUUGAUAGGCCAGAACUGGAAGUGCAGUAAUGCAUGCAGGUGACUGGUACUAAUAGGCCGAGGACUUACCACAA